Non-coding RNA from Paramuricea clavata, 442 nucleotides. The record is from the annotation of a GenBank genome assembly. NCBI's taxonomy places the organism in Eukaryota, Metazoa, Cnidaria, Anthozoa, Malacalcyonacea, Plexauridae.
GGAUAUUCAUGUAAACGUCUUCAAACUUUGUAUACUUACUAAUUUUGAGGUGGUCUUUUUAGUGAUUUGGUCCAUUUCUUAAUUUGGGCACUUUUUAACACUCGUCUCGAGUCCACUCAUCAACUUCGGAAUGGCUAAGCCCGACGCAGAACGCGUCAUAUGGAUGCGCAGUCAACACGAAUUGAUGUGUAGCCAGUACACAGCCGUAAAUUCUCGCGAGGAUUUGCAUUUGUGUACAGGCUACACCUGAAUGACAGCAGAAUCUAUUGAAAUAUUAGCAAGGUGGGGUUGGAAACCGCAACCGCAACUUUGGAGAACCCUUUCUUAUUGUCGAUUUCAAGUCACUUUUCAACGCGCGGGUCCCAAGUUCGUUACGAACUUCGCAAUGAAGUUCGCAAGUACAUCUCAAUGUUCGAACUUCGUUUGUAAACGAAUGUUCAUA